ACUUCAUGAUGUGGACAUCGACUCUACAAGUCCUUAAACCGCUCUCAUGCUUCAUACAAAGAUUCACUAUGGUGUUGAGUGAAACUUGUGAUCUCUUGUCUAAAUUU
This is a non-coding RNA of Ricinus communis (castor bean), 107 nucleotides long. NCBI's taxonomy places the organism in Eukaryota, Viridiplantae, Streptophyta, Magnoliopsida, Malpighiales, Euphorbiaceae. The record is from Rfam.